AGUGAACGCUGGCGGCAGGCCUAACACAUGCAAGUCGAACGGCAGCGCAGCAGUAGUAAUACUGUGGGCGGCGAGUGGCGGACGGGUGAGGAAUACAUCGGAAUCUACCUUGUCGUGGGGGAUAACGUAGGGAAACUUACGCUAAUACCGCAUACGAACUAUGGUUGAAAGCGGCGGACCGCAAGGCGUCGCGCGAUUGGAUGAGCCGAUGUCCGAUUAGCUAGUUGGCGGGGUAAAGGCCCACCAAGGCGACGAUCGGUAGCUGGUCGGAGAGGAUGAUCAGCCACACUGGAACUGAGACACGGUCCAGACUCCUACGGGAGGCAGCAGUGGGGAAUAUUGGACAAUGGGCGCAAGCCUGAUUCAGCCAUGCCGCGUGUGUGAAGAAGGCCUUCGGGUUGUAAAGCACUUUUGUUGGGGAAGAAAAGAUGCCGGUUAAUACCCGGUGUUCAUGACGGUACCCAAAGAAUAAGCACCGGCUAACUUCGUGCCAGCAGCCGCGGUAA
This 506-nucleotide ribosomal RNA is filed under the name uncultured bacterium. Its description in RNAcentral is "partial 16S ribosomal RNA". It matches the Rfam family "Bacterial small subunit ribosomal RNA", at positions 29 to 523 of the family's 1533-position model. The record is from RNAcentral.